UACAGAGGGUGCAAGCGUUAAUCGGAAUUACUGGGCGUAAAGCGUGCGUAGACGGUUACAUAAGUCGGAUGUGAAAGCCCCGGGCUCAACCUGGGAAUUGCAUUCGAGACUGUGUAGCUAGGAUGCGGAAGAGGGAAGCGGAAUUUCCGGUGUAGCGGUGAAAUGCGUAGAUAUCAGGAGGAACACCUGUGGCGAAAGCGGCUCACUGGACCAUAACUGACGCUGAUGCACGAAAGCUAGGGGAGCAAACAGG
This 253-nucleotide ribosomal RNA is filed under the name uncultured bacterium. Its description in RNAcentral is "partial 16S ribosomal RNA". It matches the Rfam family "Bacterial small subunit ribosomal RNA", at positions 524 to 776 of the family's 1533-position model. The record is from RNAcentral.